This 553-nucleotide ribosomal RNA is filed under the name uncultured archaeon. RNAcentral describes it as "bacterial SSU rRNA". It matches the Rfam family "Archaeal small subunit ribosomal RNA", at positions 326 to 879 of the family's 1478-position model. The record is from RNAcentral.
CGGGGUGCACCAGGCGCGAAAACUUUACAAUGCGGGAAACCGUGAUAAGGGGACGCCGAGUGCCAGCAUCAUAUGCUGGCUGUCCAGGUGUGUAAAAUACACCUGUUAGCAAGGGCCGGGCAAGACCGGUGCCAGCCGCCGCGGUAACACCGGCGGCCCGAGUGGUGAUCGUGAUUAUUGGGUCUAAAGGGUCCGUAGCCGGUUUGGUCAGUCCUCCGGGAAAUCUGACGGCUCAACCGUUGGGCUUUCGGGGGAUACUGCCAGGCUUGGAACCGGGAGAGGUAAGAGGUACUACAGGGGUAGGAGUGAAAUCUUGUAAUCCCUGUGAGACCACCUGUGGCGAAGGCGUCUUACCAGAACGGGUUCGACGGUGAGGGACGAAAGCUGGGGGCACGAACCGGAUUAGAUACCCGGGUAGUCCCAGCCGUAAACGAUGCUCGCUAGGUGUCAGGCAUGGCGCGACCGUGUCUGGUGCCGCAGGGAAGCCGUGAAGCGAGCCACCUGGGAAGUACGGCCGCAAGGCUGAAACUUAAAGGAAUUGGCGGGGGAGCAC